RNAcentral lists this ribosomal RNA (253 nucleotides) under uncultured bacterium. RNAcentral's name for it is "partial 16S ribosomal RNA". It matches the Rfam family "Bacterial small subunit ribosomal RNA", at positions 524 to 776 of the family's 1533-position model. The record is from RNAcentral.
UACGGAGGGUGCAAGCGUUAUCCGGAUUCACUGGGUUUAAAGGGUGCGUAGGCGGAUAUGUAAGUCCGUGGUGAAAUCUCUGGGCUUAACCCGGAAACUGCCAUGGAUACUAUGUGUCUUGAAUGUUGUUGAGGUGAGCGGAAUAUGUCAUGUAGCGGUGAAAUGCUUAGAUAUGACAUAGAACACCAAUUGCGAAGGCAGCUCACUAAGCAAAUACUGACGCUGAGGCACGAAAGCGUGGGGAUCAAACAGG